ACUCCUACGGAGGCAGCAGUGGGGAAUAUUGCACAAUGGGCGCAAGCCUGAUGCAGCAACGCCGUGUGAGUGAAGAAGGUUUUCGGAUCGUAAAACUCUGUCCUAAGGGAAGAAACAAAUGACGGUACCUUAGGAGGAAGCCCCGGCUAACUACGUGCCAGCAGCCGCGGUAAUACGUAGGGGGCAAGCGUUAUCCGGAAUCACUGGGCGUAAAGGGUGCGUAGGCGGCUUAGCAAGCCAGGGGUGAAAGGCAUUGGCUCAACCAAUGUAAGCCUUUGGAACUGUUAAGCUUGAGUGCAGGAGAGGUAAGUGGAAUUCCUAGUGUAGAGGUGAAAUUCGUAGAUAUUAGGAGGAACACCAGUGGCGAAGGCGACUUACUGGACUGUAACUGACGCUGAUGCACGAAAGCGUGGGUAGCGAACAGGAUUAGAUACCCUGGUAGCACAGAG
This 449-nucleotide ribosomal RNA is filed under the name uncultured bacterium. RNAcentral describes it as "bacterial SSU rRNA". It matches the Rfam family "Bacterial small subunit ribosomal RNA", at positions 335 to 799 of the family's 1533-position model. The record is from RNAcentral.